This 765-nucleotide ribosomal RNA is filed under the name Agrococcus jenensis. RNAcentral describes it as "bacterial SSU rRNA". It matches the Rfam family "Bacterial small subunit ribosomal RNA", at positions 27 to 803 of the family's 1533-position model. The record is from RNAcentral. Lineage: Bacteria; Bacillati; Actinomycetota; Actinomycetes; Micrococcales; Microbacteriaceae.
GGACGAACGCUGGCGGCGUGCUUAACACAUGCAAGUCGAACGAUGAAGGAGGAGCUUGCUCCUCUGGAUUAGUGGCGAACGGGUGAGUAACACGUGAGCAAUCUGCCCUUGACUCUGGGAUAAGCGCUGGAAACGGCGUCUAAUACCGGAUACGACCCUCGGAGGCAUCUCCUGUGGGUGGAAAGAACUUCGGUCAAGGAUGAGCUCGCGGCCUAUCAGCUUGUUGGUGAGGUAAUGGCUCACCAAGGCGACGACGGGUAGCCGGCCUGAGAGGGUGACCGGCCACACUGGGACUGAGACACGGCCCAGACUCCUACGGGAGGCAGCAGUGGGGAAUAUUGCACAAUGGGCGCAAGCCUGAUGCAGCAACGCCGCGUGAGGGACGACGGCCUUCGGGUUGUAAACCUCUUUUAGCAGGGAAGAAGCGAGAGUGACGGUACCUGCAGAAAAAGCACCGGCUAACUACGUGCCAGCAGCCGCGGUAAUACGUAGGGUGCAAGCGUUGUCCGGAAUUAUUGGGCGUAAAGAGCUCGUAGGCGGUCUGUCGCGUCUGCUGUGAAAACCCGAGGCUCAACCUCGGGCUUGCAGUGGGUACGGGCAGACUAGAGUGCGGUAGGGGAGAUUGGAAUUCCUGGUGUAGCGGUGGAAUGCGCAGAUAUCAGGAGGAACACCGAUGGCGAAGGCAGAUCUCUGGGCCGUAACUGACGCUGAGGAGCGAAAGCGUGGGGAGCAAACAGGCUUAGAUACCCUGGUAGUCCACGCCGU